AAUUUAAAACUAAAAUUUACAUGAAAACCAAAAUUAAAAAGAGCAAAGGCACAAAGAGGCUCAAAGAAAGAAAAGUUAUCUGAUCCUAAAAGGAAGAAAAAGUAUUGAAAAAGAAAGAUAAUAAAGACGCUACUGAAAAAGUAAACAAACUAUAAAGAAAAUUAAAGAAAAACGUGCCUACUCCUUUAGGGAAAGAGAUUGCCCGUCCCACUCUUAUCAUCUUUCUAAGAGGCACCGACGGUUCCAUUUCUCCCAAAAAAAGCCUGCCAAACUUAUCUCCCUGCAUUAAGACAAUCAUUCAGUCGAAGCAUUCCUGUCUAGAUCUGAUGCUUCGGUAACCCAAGAAACCGGAAAAACCAAGAGUCCUUCAUUCGUCAGUCAGGCUCGCGGAGCCAAUCAUCGGAAAAAGUUGUUGCAGCGGAGUCUGGGACAGAUCCGAUCAGACAAGGGGUCUCCUUCGAUGAUUACUUUUGUUAAUCUGAGAACUAACCCCAUUUUAAGCGCCUCAAGGCAUGCAAGGGCUUCCCCGGUGAAAGCCGGUCCCACAUUGUCGUGCAAGUUUUAGACACUAUUACCACACCUUUUCUAUUUCGAGCAACCAGCCCUGUACCUAAUCUACAUCGUUCCAUGACAAAAGCCGUAUCAAAGUUUACUUUGAUAAAAUCGGUAGGAGGAGGAUUCCAGCUUACUUUAUCACCCUGGACGAUGGCCCAAAGUGAGCAGCAAACAAUCCUUCGUUGAAUGUGCCAACAGACAUUAAAAACUGCAGUAAGGCAAUCCAACCACCCCUAACUAGGUAGGUUUAAUAAAUCAAUGAGGCCUAAGAUUUCCCAAACUUUAUUUGCAACAAGACAAAAGCAGAAGGCAUGACUAUUGUUUUUGCUCCUCCCCCACAAAUGGGACACAGAGUGUCUCGAACCAGCUUCUUCAAGAGUAAGUUUGACAUGGGUAUCAUCUUGUGGUUCAAGUGCCAGCGGGAUCUGAAGGAUUCUUGAUGCAUCAUCCUCAUCAAAGAUGGAAAUAAUAGUAUCCUUUUUCCAUUCUCUAUUAUCAUCAAUAAGCUCAGAAACAAAUUCAAGAUUACAAUUACUAACUGUACCACAUAAUUGAAAAUUAAAAGAGCAUAGUAUCCAUGCAGCAUUAAAAAUA
This is a long non-coding RNA of Gossypium arboreum, 1149 nucleotides long. RefSeq lists it as uncharacterized. The transcript is spliced from 4 exons. The record is from RefSeq and is a predicted model, not a curated record. NCBI's taxonomy places the organism in Eukaryota, Viridiplantae, Streptophyta, Magnoliopsida, Malvales, Malvaceae.